UGAGGAAUAUUGGACAAUGGGGGCAAGCCCUGAUCCAGCCAUGCCGCGUGCAGGAAGACUGCCCUAUGGGUUGUAAACUGCUUUUAUACAGGAAGAAACACCUCUACGUGUAGAGGACUUGACGGUACUGUAAGAAUAAGGAUCGGCUAACUCCGUG
This 157-nucleotide ribosomal RNA is filed under the name uncultured Bacteroidota bacterium. Its description in RNAcentral is "uncultured Bacteroidetes bacterium partial 16S ribosomal RNA". It matches the Rfam family "Bacterial small subunit ribosomal RNA", at positions 355 to 507 of the family's 1533-position model. Lineage: Bacteria; Pseudomonadati; Bacteroidota. The record is from RNAcentral.